GGAGGAUUCGCAUAGCGGUUUAUUGCGCCACCUUGGAAAGGUGGUAACUGGGCAACUGGUUCGGGGGUUCGAAUCCCCCAUCCUCCGCCA
Molecule: transfer RNA, 90 nt
Filed under: Minisyncoccota bacterium
Lineage: Bacteria; Bacillati; Minisyncoccota
Description: tRNA-Ser
Rfam family: tRNA
About the family: Transfer RNA (tRNA) molecules are approximately 80 nucleotides in length. Their secondary structure includes four short double-helical elements and three loops (D, anti-codon, and T loops).
Source: RNAcentral